CUAGAGAAGUCACCAUGAUCAAUUAUGAAAAUUCAUAAAUAAAUUGAGGCUUGUAGAAAAUGCUAGUUUUUGAUAAAUACAAUCCCUAGUUUAUUUUAAAGAAAACCCAUCUCUUUUAAUUAUUUUGUAAAUUUUGUUGAUUAAUUUUAUGUUUAUAAAACACUUAUGUUUGCAAUGAAACUCUUAGUAAAAUUUAGCUUUGAGAAACGCGGUUUGUUUUCAAAAAUUCAACAUUUUGCUAAUAGAGUAAUUAUAAUUUAAAAUGAUUAAACGAUUCAAAAAAACAGAAAACCAAAAGUCCAAAACAAAAAUAAUCCCAAGAGUCCAAAAUAGUCCAACAGUAUCAAAAUAGAGUAAACAAAGUUUAAAGUAACACAAAUUAAAUGUGUUUAUCUGAGCUCCCGUCGCACCGACCCGUCCUAUGUCUAAGGAUUACCUGAGAAUCAAGCAAACAGAGAAUGAGCUUACAAGCAGUAUGUAACUUACUAUAAUUAAAAUAGUAGAUAAAAUUCAGAACAUGCAUUCAGAUACCAAUUAGACGAAUUUCAUAGACAGAAAUAGAAACAGAUGCAUAUCAGAUACAGAUACAGAUUAAUUUCCUACCCCCAUCUGCUACACACCAGCUCUGACCAUCCCUGCACACCAAUUAGGGUAUUAAAUACCCAAUUAGCCCUACACACCAAUUAGUGUCUGUAUGACACUUUUCAGAAUAUUUGUAGCCUAGCUACCAGAUCAAUAGGCGAUAUACUGCCAAAUAUGGAUAUACGUAGCUGAGCCACAAAAUUAGGCAGAUAAAUUAAACUAUCAGCAAUUCCUCCAUAAACAUAUUUCUCACCCCAAUGCAUAUGCAAAACUAGACAAUAUCACAUAUGUGCACGACAUGCAUGUUUUUCACAUCUGAUUAGAUCAUACCUAGCAUAUAACAGAACAUGCUAUCACAUAUAACAUACCACUCAUCCGUUUGCUAGUCAUAUUAAGCAAUAACAGAGUAUCAAAAAUCAUGGUUUAUAGGCAAUUUUAUACCAUAUGGGCCCUAUAGAAAGGUUAUAUUCGAUUCGCACGACAACCAGAACCCUAGGGAAAAUUUUCAGAAUUUAGGCCCACACGCCCGUGUGGCAUCGACAGUCUCAAUUUUGGCUUUCAGUCGUUCGCUAAUUUCUUGAGUUUUCGUUACACACUUCAUCUGAUUUUGAUUCGAUUGCAACCAUGAGAUUUCCAGAACCUAAAAAUAAUAAUUAAACCACCAAUUAAGACGAUUCCCACACCCAAUUCACAAAAAUUGAUAUAUCAAACAUCAAAUUUUAAACGAAGAAUUUCAACCUAAAACCCCAAUUUGACUCCUUAUCUUCAAGAAACAGCAGAACACCAAUGAUUCUAGGUUUCUGAAGAAUUAAUUGCCUUUCCAACUUCACCUAGAAAGUCAAACAAUUAAUCAUACAGAACAUAUUUAACCCACAACUAACAAAAAGAACAAUAAGAACAAACUCACUUAAUACAAGAGAAAACUUAAUGGCAGAUACACAAGUAAUUGAUUACGCUUAAUGGCAAUUGAUUUGCAGAAAGAAAAGGAAAAGAACAAAGUGUAGAACCGCACAAGAAAAAAAAGAAAAGAAACUAGCAAUUGGGAAAAAAUAAAAGUGGGAACUGAGGGAGAGGAAAGUGGAGAAUAAACAGAGGACACCUUACCACUAAACCAGCAGGCUCAUUUUAUCACAAGUUUAGUGGAAAUAGUAUUUAAGUCAAAUAAAAAGAGGUAGGGAUAGGACCUCAAACACACAUCCAAUGCAUUUAACCAUUGAACCAAAUCAAUUACUUAGACAAAAUUUAACAAAUCAAAACUUAGAUUUUGGGGGCAUUACAACACUUAUCAAGCAUUCCAUUUCAUAAUCAAUUCAAUGAAAUUCUAACAUGCCUCAUUUUCAUAAUAAUUUCUUAUGCAAUUUAACAUGUUACAAGAGGAAUUUUUCAAUACAUGUAUAACAAGCUCUCAACAGUACAUUCCAUGGCAUUUCACUUAAGCAUACAAUUCAACCAUUCAAUAGUUUUACUUUUGUAAUAUUAAUACAUGUUAUGCAUUCAACCAACAAUCAUUUUAUUUUCAAAUCAUCCAUGUUAUUUCAUACUGAUACCACUCGUAUAAAUAGUCAUUCAACCAUGCUAAUCUUGCACGAAUUCCAUUUAAUUAGGGCUUGAAAUGUACCUGAUUUAACCACCUUAAAAUUGUUUCCUUAGCCAUUUAAAAAGUCGUACCAACAAGGUUAAACAUCAAUUUAACCACUAAAAAUAUAAUUUAAACAGACAAGUUUACAGGUUAGAACACAAACCUUAAUUUCACAAAACCGCAGUACUACUUGUGAAAUCUACGCUUCCUUCACCAAACUUAAACGUACCUAAACCAAAAUCCAACUUUAAUAGAGUUAGGAUGUUGUCAAACCAGCCUUAAAACACCCUCUAAGGGUUUAGGCAAAUCAUUGUUACAAGGCCUUAAUUACAAAUCCAAAUCAGUUGAAUCAAUUACAAUGAUAUGGUGCGAAGCGAGAGCGUGGACGAAAAAUGGCUUCACUGCUGUUCUAGGAUGUUUAAAUCAAUGCCUAACACAUUAAAAUGCUAAAAAAUCAGUAGCUAAUCAUCCAUUUAAAACCUUAAAAUUAGUAGCUAAUCAAUAGUUGAUUAGGAUAGGAUAAAAUAGAUCUACCCUUGCCGGAAAAUACUCGAAAAAAUUGUGAAAAAUUAGCAGCUCUUAAUGGCAGAUCUAGGAGCAAAGCACCAGCAUAAUUGGCCACAUAGGGGCGGUUUUGCAAAACACCAAGGAGAUUUGUUUAAAAGCUGAUAAAGGAAUAUCUUUAGACUUGAAAAUUAGUAAAAAUAAAGGCUGAAAUAGUAGUGUAUUUUACUAAAUAAAUAACAUACUGUUGCUCAAUAAAAUGAAAAACUUUAGGGGUAACAACAACCACUGACGGUAGCAAUUUUUGGGAUAAUUUUGGCAAGUUCAAAAGGAAUGUUUUAGGGCUAGAAAUAAUUUUUUAAAAUUAGUAUAGAAAACAGAAAUUUUAAGAUAUGAUUUUGAAAACAAAACAAUAGGAAAAUGGUGUAGAAAAAUGAGAGAAUCAAGCACAUACUCUAGCAAGUUAAAGGGGCGAAAAUGGAGAUCUUUGUGGCAACAGUGGGAUCCAAUUUUUGAGUGGUUCAAGAGACUAAUUCAAGGUUGAAAAAAUAAUGAAAUAAAAUCGAAAGGGAGGAAGAAAAAUGACAAAAAUUAGCACCAGUGGAGAAGGGAAGGACGCCAAGGAAAAAUGAGUUUGGUGGGCGACACAAUGAAGGAGAAAAGAAGAAAAUUGAAAAAGGGAUAAAAGAGAAAAGGAAGGGGUGGCUAAGGUUGGAAAAAGGAUGACUAAAAGAUGAAAAAUAAAUGAAAAAGUGAUAUUUAUACCUAGAUUAACUAGGCAUGGGCAGCACAAAAAUAGGGGAAAGGAGGAAAAUUAGCAAAAGUAUGCUAUUUUGCAAGGGAAUAGAAUCAAACUUGAAUCCUU
This 3530-nucleotide long non-coding RNA is filed under the name Gossypium barbadense (sea-island cotton). RNAcentral describes it as "long non-coding RNA (GBAR_LNC019225)". Lineage: Eukaryota; Viridiplantae; Streptophyta; Magnoliopsida; Malvales; Malvaceae. The record is from RNAcentral.